Molecule: ribosomal RNA, 477 nt
Filed under: uncultured bacterium
Lineage: Bacteria
Description: bacterial SSU rRNA
Rfam family: Bacterial small subunit ribosomal RNA
Source: RNAcentral
UUCGCAAUGCCCGAAAGGGUGACGAAGCGACGCCGCGUGUGGGAAGAAGGCCUUCGGGUCGUAAACCACUGUCGGGAGUUAAGAAAUGCAAGGAUAUUAAUAGUGUCUUUGUUUGACUAAGGCUCCGGAGGAAGCCACGGCUAACUCUGUGCCAGCAGCCGCGGUAAUACAGAGGCGGCAAGCGUUGUUCGGAAUUAUUGGGCGUAAAGAGCACGUAGGCGGCUAUGUAAGUCGGUUGUGAAAGCCUUCCGCUCAACGGAAGAACAGCAUCCGAUACUACAUGGCUUGAGUGCGGGAGGGGAGAGUGGAACUUCUGGUGGAGCGGUGAAAUGCGUAGAUAUCAGAAGGAACGCCGGCGGCGAAAGCGGCUCUCUGGCCCAUAACUGACGCUGAGUGUGCGAAAGCUAGGGGAGCAAACGGGAUUAGAUACUCCGGUAGUCCUAGCCGUAAACGAUGGGCACUAAGUAGAGGGGUUUU